This 360-nucleotide ribosomal RNA is filed under the name uncultured bacterium. RNAcentral describes it as "bacterial SSU rRNA". It matches the Rfam family "Bacterial small subunit ribosomal RNA", at positions 28 to 412 of the family's 1533-position model. The record is from RNAcentral.
GAUGAACGCUGGCGGUAUGCUUAACACAUGCAAGUCGAACGGGAUGCUUUCGGGCAUCUAGUGGCGGACGGGUGAGUAACGCGUGAGAAUCUGCCCUUUGGACGGGGACAACGACUGGAAACGGUCGCUAAUACCGGAUGAGCCGUAAGGUAAAAGGAUUUAUCGCCAAAGGAUGAGCUCGCGUCGGAUUAGCUAGUUGGUAGUGUAAUGGACUACCAAGGCGACGAUCCGUAGCUGGUCUGAGAGGAUGACCAGCCACACUGGGACUGAGACACGGCCCAGACUCCUACGGGAGGCAGCAGUGGGGAAUCUUGCGCAAUGGGCGAAAGCCUGACGCAGCGACGCCGCGUGAGCGAUGAA